AGAGUUUGAUCCUGGCUCAGGAUGAACGCUGGCGGCGUGCUUAACACAUGCAAGUCGAGCGAAGCAUUUAAGCAGAUUUCUUCGGAUUGAAGCUUAUCCGACUGAGCGGCGGACGGGUGAGUAACGCGUGGGGAACCUGCCCUAUACAGGGGGAUAACAGUUAGAAAUGACUGCUAAUACCGCAUAAGCGCACGGAGCGGCAUCGCUCAGUGUGAAAAACUCCGGUGGUAUAGGAUGGCCCCGCGUCUGAUUAGCUUGUUGGCGAGGUAACGGCCCACCAAGGCGACGAUCAGUAGCCGGCCUGAGAGGGUGAGCGGCCACAUUGGGACUGAGACACGGCCCAAACUCCUACGGGAGGCAGCAGUGGGGAAUAUUGCACAAUGGGGGAAACCCUGAUGCAGCGACGCCGCGUGGGUGAAGAAGUAUUUCGGUAUGUAAAGCCCUAUCAGCGGGGAAGAAGAUGACAGUACCCGACUAAGAAGCCCCGGCUAACUACGUGCCAGCAGCCGCGGU
This 513-nucleotide ribosomal RNA is filed under the name uncultured chicken cecal bacterium. RNAcentral's name for it is "bacterial SSU rRNA". It matches the Rfam family "Bacterial small subunit ribosomal RNA", at positions 8 to 521 of the family's 1533-position model. The record is from RNAcentral.